AUCAUGGCUCAGAUUGAACGCUGGCGGCAUGCCUUACACAUGCAAGUCGAACGGUAACAGGGAGCUUGCUCCGCUGACGAGUGGCGAACGGGUGAGUAAUACAUCGGAACGUGCCCAGUAAUGGGGGAUAGCUCGGCGAAAGCCGGAUUAAUACCGCAUACGCCCUGAGGGGGAAAGUGGGGGACCGCAAGGCCUCACGUUAUUGGAGCGGCCGAUGGCUGAUUAGCUAGUUGGUAGGGUAAAGGCCUACCAAGGCGACGAUCAGUAGCUGGUCUGAGAGGACGAUCAGCCACACUGGGACUGAGACACGGCCCAGACUCCUACGGGAGGCAGCAGUGGGGAAUUUUGGACAAUGGGGGAAACCCUGAUCCAGCAAUGCCGCGUGUGCGAAGAAGGCCUUCGGGUUGUAAAGCACUUUUGUCAGGGAAGAAAUCCUUUGGGCUAAUACCCUAGGGGGAUGACGGUACCUGAAGAAUAAGCACCGGCUAACUACGUGCC
This 498-nucleotide ribosomal RNA is filed under the name beta proteobacterium SCB52. RNAcentral describes it as "bacterial SSU rRNA". It matches the Rfam family "Bacterial small subunit ribosomal RNA", at positions 16 to 509 of the family's 1533-position model. Lineage: Bacteria; Pseudomonadati; Pseudomonadota; Betaproteobacteria. The record is from RNAcentral.